UUGGUUUUCACAUACAAAAUAGGAAGUACGAUAACAUAAGACUCGACAAACUCAACUAGAUUAUGACAGACUCUGACACCACCUAAAAGACUCGAUACUACUGUACAAGACUAGAAAGUAAAAGACAACAUAAAACAAACUCAAAAAUAUAAAAGUAUCCUCAAGCAACUCAUGUAUGCAACGGUCCUGACCGGAAUGGUCCUGGGGUAUCUGUCAUGCUCGAGCUGUGAUAAUUGAAUCCAUACCUGAAUGAGAAGAAUAAGACAAAAUAGAGUUAGUGACUCAAGAUACUAUGCGACGCCACAACACCUCCUAUUGGACACAUGCAAGGCAUGAUUGAGCUAUUUUUGCAAAAUGGCCUAUGUGGUCAAGGGUGGCUAUUAGUGCAAACUCAACAAAGGUGACCUCAAAGACAUGGAAAUACCUCAUGAAGGCCCAUAAACUCUCAGGAAUCGCGGUCCCUAAAAUUGCUUUGUGAAAAUGACCCCACUUUGCAGAAAUGGCCUAUGUGGUCGAAAUGGAUAAGCAUGCAAAUUCAAUAGGAAUGUACCUUAGACAAAGAGAAAACCUUGUGGUAGACUUAGGACUCUAAGACAUGGGUUAACAAGCCACUUUUGCGAAAAUAUCCCUAUUUUGAAAAAACGACCGAUGUGGUCGAAUGUGGCCAGACAUGCAAGAUUUGGCUAAGACCUCGCGAAGCCAAUAACUUAAGACUCACUAUAAAUAUCGGACCCUAUGUGGGCUGCCUAUGUAUCCCAUCCCGAAAGACGAGAAUCAGAUAUGCGUAGUUCGGGAAGAUUGGAUAUGGGAGAAAGUUUUGAAAAAUGCAACUAAUUUGGAAAAAACUAUUUUUUGUCUUUUUUAAAAAUGAUAAGAAAGUGUAAAAUCUUUUUGUUGUUUUUUCUUUUAGAAAAUGGGGCAAGAAACUAAAAGUGACAAAACCUUCAAUAUUCUCUCUUGCUUUAUUUUUUACCCUUCUUUCCAAACAUCAGUCCGCCAAAUGAUCUUUCUACCAUCAAAGAUGCAACAUUUAGCACAUAUGAUGAUUGAAUGUCCUUUUGGGCCGUGGACCCAUUUGACACAAUUUGGACAGGUUUCCUACAAAGGUCACGAUACCUAGGACCGGGCCCCGCUAGGUCACAAUGAUAUGAUGCAAAUAAAAAUGACCUAAAGGCUGACCUACGUUUGGGGUUCACUAAUAAGGCAAUUCGGGGGAGCGUAUGGUCGACGGUGGCUGCUCAAGCUUUCCACCCACUUCAUACGACCGACGGCCCCCCUCCUAAAAUAAGGGUAACUCAACGAAGAGUUCGUGUAUGCGACGCGUACUACGAGACUUGUUGCAGAAAGAAUUGACCGGGUAAUGCAUAUGAUGACAGUUAUAAAGCGGUAACACGUAAGGAAAAAUUGUAAACACAUAAACAACUAGCAAAUAAUAAAAACGACAUAAACAAAAUAAAAAUCAAACAAAGCAAAUAAAAACCUCCACCGAAUAUUCUAAAAAGCCAAUAAGAUCAAGUACCAGCUCGAACCUGUAAUUCCCCAGCAGAGUCGCCAAAGCUGUUACACCCCUUUUUUCCACCUCACUAACCUUCUUUGAAAUAAAUAAAAGGUGAUUUUAAAGCUCAAAAGGGUUUCAAAAUUGAAAAGUGACAAAGUAUUGUGUUAAAAGAGAUUUUCUCAUAGUCGCCACUUGGCAUAGAAUAUAAUCUCGGUGUGCCAAGUCACCAUUUAAAAACCAAUUUUUACUUUAAAAUACAUUGGACUCUUAAACCAGUUUCCACCAGAGAUUCUAGAUAAGGGGGUUCAUUUGACUCGGAGAUAAGGUGUUAGGCAUUCCCCGAGUCCCGUAACUAGUACGGUUGCGUACAUGAUCAAGUUGGCUUUUAAAAAUACUCAGCUCGAGGUGAAAACAUACAAAAGCGAAAAUAAACACGAAGGAGGCUCGAGGUCGUCCCCACCUAAAAAAAGAAAUAAAAAUAAAAUAAAAUACUAAAGUUCUAUUCUACGCUUCCUCGCAUUAACCAGUCUCUCGCCUUCAUUUACAUGUACUUUGGGGCAUUCCCCAGAUAAAAUAUUUACAAACUCUUCGGGACAUUUUCCGAAAUAUAGGGAACGAUAUCUUACCUCGAAUGAAAUAAAAGACAAGACCUAAAGUUUGCCUACCCAAUUGUGGUCGGCCUAAGCAUGCUCCUAGCGAUCCGAGCAAUUAAGAGAGCAAUAAAAUAUUUCAAUUCACUUUUAACUUUCAGUACAACCAUACGGCCAAAUACUUGAAGUCACCGAAAUUUUAAUUAACCCGCAUUAAACAUUUAUAUCUUAAUGAAGCAACGAAUCAGGGAAACCAAACUUUUUUAGUUGUGAAAAUGUAUCCAAGAAGAUUAAACCAAACCGUAUACAAACAACAAUUAGCAAAAUAAAAUGGAGCAAAUCAAAUACUAAUAGGACACACUCCAAAACAUGGGAAUAAAACGUUAACUCAUACGAUCAACUAAAACAGAGCACAUACCGAUUAAGGAGGCUAUCAAAACAAAAGCAUGACAUUAAGCAAAACGGCAAAAGAGAGAAAGAAAUGGACUUCACUGAUGAAAUCUUUCAAAGCCCGAUUAAUGAAAGAACUCCCAACAAUAAAUCAUCAGCAAAUCUUUGAACAAGCAGUUGGACACACGACCAAAAACUUCGAUCGACAACACCAAGCGGACAAACUCACUGACUGAAACUCCCUUUUGUUUGGAUACCUCGCCGGAAAAUACACAGGUUAACGAAAAUGUUGGAUCCGGCCAGAUAAAAAUCAGAGCAAAACAGGGAGAAGAUAGACGUCGCCGGACUUAAAGUUUUCUGGCGGGUUCUGGUAGAAAGGGGCUGGGGUGCGACCAUUCUUUUCUUGAAAGGAGGUCGACUGUUCUUCUUGUGUAGGGAUUCGGGAGUAGCUCGCUGGAUUUUCGGCUACAGUAGCGGAACGAGAGGGUGAGUUGGCUCUUCCUUUUCUCUGUGAUGUGUCCGUGUGUAUGUAUCUUUGUGUGUUUUUGUGUGUGUAUCUCUGUGUGUUUUCGGCAGGUUGUGGUGAAGGGAAGAAGGAGCAGCGGUGGGUAUUCUAAGGUCCUUCCACCUUGGGUAGAGUUUUCAUAAUUGGGUAUUUUAUAUUGAAGUGGAAAGGGAUGAUGGUCAUUGGAUUAGAGGGGAAUAAAUGACUAAGAUUAAAUCUUGCAUUUUAAGUGGAGAGUGUGCUAAUGAGAUGGGAAGAAUGGGCCUUUAUCUUGC
RNAcentral lists this long non-coding RNA (3258 nucleotides) under Nicotiana tabacum (common tobacco). Its description in RNAcentral is "long non-coding RNA (NTAB_LNC012031)". Lineage: Eukaryota; Viridiplantae; Streptophyta; Magnoliopsida; Solanales; Solanaceae. The record is from RNAcentral.